CAAAACACUAUCAUGUAAUCCGUUUUGUUCAUGUAUUUGUUUAUGUAAUUUAAUAUUUAUACUAUUAUUCAUCAUUGUGUAUUGCUAGAUUGAUUUGGUUUAUAUCAACCGUGCAAGGGCUUUUGUCAAGGUCGUUAAAAAAAAACCCGUAGUAGUAGAUUAUGUUUAUUCAUGUUGUUAAUAUUGUGUCUAUAGAGAGCCUUAUUGAAAAUUGAUUUAAUGUUUUUUUUCGUAAAUAAAUAUGUUGAUUCUGAAUAGAGAAAAUAAAUAAUUUGGCCAGCAAAGGGAGAAAAAAAAUUUUGACAGAGGAUAUUUACCAUAAAAAAUAAUGUUAAAUUUGAAAAAAAAUAAUUUGUCGCGCCACUUCCCAAAAAUAAAAAAUAAAAUGCGCGCAUGCCUCCCC
RNAcentral lists this long non-coding RNA (403 nucleotides) under Mytilus galloprovincialis (Mediterranean mussel). The record is from RNAcentral. Lineage: Eukaryota; Metazoa; Mollusca; Bivalvia; Mytilida; Mytilidae.